Molecule: long non-coding RNA, 879 nt
Filed under: Homo sapiens (human)
Lineage: Eukaryota; Metazoa; Chordata; Mammalia; Primates; Hominidae
Description: HSALNT0376353
Source: RNAcentral
CUUGUUCCGCGGAGGGUGGGGCGGUCUCUGCUUGCGCAUGCGCAAUGCCAGCCAGUGCCUGCGCGGCUUGCUCCAGCAAGGUAAAAUUUCCCACUGCGAGGCAGGCAGUGAUGCUGCGGCCGCUUCGCACUGUGGCUCCUGCCGACCGCCAGGCGCUGUUACAGUGGAUGCGAACUAACCGUAAGUCAUUAUAUCGUACUGCAGAAACCAGCUCAACUAUGCAAAACUACCACCAGGACUGGCCGACACCAGGAGGGAUUCCAGAGACCACACUGCAGGGAGCAUACAGAAAGAAAAUUAAGAGAUCAGAUGCAGCAGCAGCCGGAACCCACAGUUCACCUUGGUGCAUUCCUUUAUGAUGAAGACUUAUUGAUUCAUUAUAUGAGAAAGGAAAAAUGAGCAGAAACUACUGUAUGAUGUGCAGCUCACACCAGACAGCAACUUUAGGGUUAUCUUUCCAGUUCAGCAGUGCAACUCUAUGGAGUAGAAUUGAAAGGAGACUUUUCGCCAAUUGCAGGAAAUGGUCAUAAAAAAAUACCUGCUCACUGACAGAAUAAAGUGUCCUGCGCCUUGGCUGUUACAGGUGGAGGUGGAAAAGAAAUUGCCAUUGAUGCUGCAAAUAACUUCCUUCACCUUCUAACCUGGAGAUUCAUUGAAGGAAGAAAAAAGGUGACUGUCAGAGUCCCUGCUGGCCAUGCCUCUCAGCCACAGGACCACUGAGCCACUUAAUUCCUCCCCAGGGUCAGAUGUGCCCCAGCACCAGGUUGUUUAUGGAUACCCUAACCACCUUUUCACACUCCUUGAAGUUUAGCUUUAAAUGUUUUAAGAAUUAGCAAAGUGGGCCGGGCACGGUGGUUCAAGCCUGUAAUCCCAGCACUU